GGAGGGAGCGAACGUUGUUCGGAUUCACUGGGCGUAAAGGGUGUGUGGGCGGUCUUGCAAGUUUGAGGUGAAAUCUUCCGGCUCAACCGGGAAACUGCCUUGAAGACUGCAGGACUUGAGGGCGUGAGAGGAGACUGGAAUUCCUAGUGUAGCGGUGAAAUGCAUAGAUAUUAGGAGGAACACCAGUGGCGAAGGCGAGUCUCUGGCACGCAUCUGACGCUGAGACACGAAAGCCAGGGGAGCGAACGGGAUUAGAUACCCCGGUAGUCCUGGCUGUAAACGUUGGGUACUAAGUGUUGGCCGAUCGACCCGGUCAGUGCUGCAGCUAACGCGCUAAGUACCCCGCCUGGGGAGUACGGCCGCAAGGUUG
RNAcentral lists this ribosomal RNA (370 nucleotides) under uncultured bacterium. RNAcentral's name for it is "bacterial SSU rRNA". It matches the Rfam family "Bacterial small subunit ribosomal RNA", at positions 527 to 896 of the family's 1533-position model. The record is from RNAcentral.